ACUUGUCCCCAGCUGUCCCCAGUGUCACUUGGACCUGGUCAGUCCUGUCUGGUCAUCUCUUUUCUCCUCUCCAGGAGCUCGUGGGACCAUUGGACUGUGAGCACAUCCUGGGAGUAUGCCUGCCUCGCUCUAGAUAAAGCAGGGAGGAAUUCUGAUGUACCAUCUUUACCUUCUCCUUCCGUGCCCCACGGUGACCUGCUGCAGAAUCCCACCUGGAGGCUGGGCUGGGGCUUCUCUGCCUGCCCGGGAUGUGCCUCACCAUCGCGGGCCGGUGGAGACACCUGCUGGGGGCCAGCAGAAAUGGUUCAGAUGAGCGGGAACGUUUCCUCUUAGAGAACCAGGAGCUCACCUGAUGCUUAUAAAUCCCCUGGCUGCUGUGCAAAGUGUGAGGAAGGAGAAGAUUUAAUGGCUUCUGUCAUCUGUACAAUCAGUGCAAGUCAGAAUAACCACAAUAAAGUCAGUGGAGACUACUUCCA
RNAcentral lists this long non-coding RNA (476 nucleotides) under Zonotrichia albicollis (white-throated sparrow). RNAcentral describes it as "lncRNA (ENSZALG00000011223.1)". The record is from RNAcentral. Lineage: Eukaryota; Metazoa; Chordata; Aves; Passeriformes; Passerellidae.